RNAcentral lists this ribosomal RNA (253 nucleotides) under uncultured bacterium. RNAcentral's name for it is "partial 16S ribosomal RNA". It matches the Rfam family "Bacterial small subunit ribosomal RNA", at positions 524 to 776 of the family's 1533-position model. The record is from RNAcentral.
GACGUAGGGCGCGAGCGUUGUCCGGAUUUAUUGGGCGUGAAGAGCUCGUAGGCGGCUUGUUGCGUCGACUGUGAAAACCCGCGGCUUAACUGCGGGCUUGCAGUUGAUACGGGCAGGCUAGAGUUCGGUAGGGGAGACUGGAAUUCCUGGUGUAGCGGUGAAAUGCGCAGAUAUCAGGAGGAACACCAAUGGCGAAGGCAGCUCGCUGGGACGGUACUGACGCUGAGACGCGAAAGCGUGGGGAGCAAACAGG